CAUCUUUAUUAGCCUACCACGCAUUAUGUCAUCUUUGACAUAGUCCUCGUUCCAUUACAAUCAUUUCUCACAGAUACUUUUGUUCUUACGAAUGUAACAAUUCUUCCAUAGGCUAAUUUGGUUCUUAGUCCUCUUAUUUUAGAUCUUAGAACUUGUUUUCUGAAGUUACAUUUUUUUGGGCAUAUUCUAAAGUUAAAUUCCACGAAACAUGCUUUUAAUCAUUUUUGGUUACGUCUGCUGAAACUUCCCCUUUCCAAGCAUA
Molecule: long non-coding RNA, 262 nt
Filed under: Hordeum vulgare
Lineage: Eukaryota; Viridiplantae; Streptophyta; Magnoliopsida; Poales; Poaceae
Description: long non-coding RNA (HVUL_LNC000486)
Source: RNAcentral